This is a long non-coding RNA of Perca fluviatilis (European perch), 564 nucleotides long. RefSeq lists it as uncharacterized. The transcript has 3 exons. Lineage: Eukaryota; Metazoa; Chordata; Actinopteri; Perciformes; Percidae. The record is from RefSeq and is a predicted model, not a curated record.
CUCAGUCUUCACUUUCACCAGCUGCAGCUCACAGGAAUAGCAGCCACGCGGAUGCUGUUCAGUGAUACGUCUGUGAUUCUUGAAGGCAGUUAAACAAGCUGUGCGCUCUAAUGUUGCGUGUCGCUUUGAAGCUGACAGGAGAGGGCUAUCAGUAGCAAACUGCCAACACCCUGCUGUGCACCUGGAACCAGGAAUGGAUGGUGUGAAUUCAACAAGAUGUCUCCUGAGACGCUGCUUUACACUUCCCAACACUGUGUAGGAAUGCCAGCAUGGAGACGCAACCAUGCAGAAACAUAAAUGCAAAAAAUGUAGAGCACAGAAACAACAGACACCCUUGCACACACAAAAAUAUGCACAUUAGGAAAUGUGCCAGCAUGACUUGAGAAAACUAGACCAAGUACGUUGGGUACACAAACUCUGUAGCCGCAACUGCACAUUAACUAAUUUCAUGUCAAAUUCAAAAAGGUUGUAUUAUUUAAUCUACAGCUCCUGUUCUGUACCGCCUACUGUGAUACUAUAUGUGCUGUUUUAAAAUAAAGAAAAUAUGAAUAUGUUUGAAAAGUA